CUUGAAGCAGCCAGCAGGCGGGUGCAAUUAGUCAGAAUGGAUGACCAGGACAGAGUAAGCCAAGCAUCAAGUGUGGCCACCAUUUCCUUCUUCCCUGUCAAUACGGAAAAUGAUGGAAAGGUACAAGCAUUUGGGAAAAGAUGCCAGGC
Long non-coding RNA from Scomber japonicus (chub mackerel), 149 nucleotides. RefSeq lists it as uncharacterized. The record is from RefSeq and is a predicted model, not a curated record. Lineage: Eukaryota; Metazoa; Chordata; Actinopteri; Scombriformes; Scombridae. The transcript has 3 exons.